Molecule: ribosomal RNA, 420 nt
Filed under: Bradyrhizobium japonicum
Lineage: Bacteria; Pseudomonadati; Pseudomonadota; Alphaproteobacteria; Hyphomicrobiales; Nitrobacteraceae
Description: bacterial SSU rRNA
Rfam family: Bacterial small subunit ribosomal RNA
Source: RNAcentral
AGGCUUAACACAUGCAAGUCGAGCGGGCGUAGCAAUACGUCAGCGGCAGACGGGUGAGUAACGCGUGGGAACGUACCUUUUGGUUCGGAACAACACAGGGAAACUUGUGCUAAUACCGGAUAAGCCCUUACGGGGAAAGAUUUAUCGCCGAAAGAUCGGCCCGCGUCUGAUUAGCUAGUUGGUAGGGUAACGGCCUACCAAGGCGACGAUCAGUAGCUGGUCUGAGAGGAUGAUCAGCCACAUUGGGACUGAGACACGGCCCAAACUCCUACGGGAGGCAGCAGUGGGGAAUAUUGGACAAUGGGGGCAACCCUGAUCCAGCCAUGCCGCGUGAGUGAUGAAGGCCCUAGGGUUGUAAAGCUCUUUUGUGCGGGAAGAUAAUGACGGUACCGCAAGAAUAAGCCCCGGCUAACUUCGUGC